CCUACGGGAGGCAGCAGUGAGGAAUAUUGGUCAAUGGACGAAAGCCUGAACCAGCCAAGCCGCGUGCAGGAAGACGGCUCUAUGGUUUGUAAACUUCUUUUAUACGAGGGUAAACCUGAAUACGUGUAUUUAUCUGUAUGUACCAUACGAAUAAGCAUCGGCUAACUCCGUGCCAGCAGCCGCGGUAAUACGGAGGAUGCAAGCGUUAUCCGGAUUUAUUGGGUUUAAAGGGUGCGUAGGCGGAUUAUUAAGUUAGAGGUGAAAGGUUAGAGCUUAACUAGGAAAUUGCCUUUGAAACUGGUGAACUAGAGUGUAGUUGAGGUAGGCGGAAUGUAUGGUGUAGCGGUGAAAUGCUUAGAGAUCAUACAGAACACCGAUUGCGAAGGCAGCUUACUAAUCUAUAUCUGACGUUGAGGCACGAAAGCGUGGGGAGCAAACAGGAUUAGAUACCCGAGUAGUC
Molecule: ribosomal RNA, 460 nt
Filed under: uncultured bacterium
Lineage: Bacteria
Description: partial 16S ribosomal RNA
Rfam family: Bacterial small subunit ribosomal RNA
Source: RNAcentral